RNAcentral lists this ribosomal RNA (253 nucleotides) under uncultured bacterium. Its description in RNAcentral is "partial 16S ribosomal RNA". It matches the Rfam family "Bacterial small subunit ribosomal RNA", at positions 524 to 776 of the family's 1533-position model. The record is from RNAcentral.
UACGAAGGGGGCUAGCGUUGUUCGGAAUUACUGGGCGUAAAGGGCGCGUAGGCGGCGCUGUAAGUGAGAUGUGAAAGACCUGGGCUUAACCUGGGAAGUGCAUUUCAUACUGCAGUGCUUGAGUGUAAGAGAGGAAAGUGGAAUGAUGCAUGUAGAGGUGAAAUUCGUAGAUAUGCAUUGGAACACCAGUGGCGAAGGCGACUUUCUGGCUUACAACUGACGCUAAGGCGCGAAAGCGUGGGGAGCAAACAGG